Small nucleolar RNA from Electrophorus electricus (electric eel), 131 nucleotides. RefSeq annotates it as small nucleolar RNA ACA64. The record is from RefSeq and is a predicted model, not a curated record. Lineage: Eukaryota; Metazoa; Chordata; Actinopteri; Gymnotiformes; Gymnotidae.
AUGGACUGAAAAUUACCCCAGUUGUGUCUGUCUUCUGGAGUAAGAUAACUGUGCCAACAGCAGCUUGGUACAUUUUUGCUUAUUGUCAGUUCAUGCUGUAACUGCCCAAUGAAACCCAUGUGCCUACACCC